UCGCUACUACCGAUUGGAUGGUUUAGUGAGGCCCACGGACUGUGGCAACUGGACCGCUUGCGGAUCGGAUGCAUACAGGAAGUGGAACAAACUUGAUCAUCUAGAGGAAGUAA
This 113-nucleotide ribosomal RNA is filed under the name uncultured eukaryote. RNAcentral's name for it is "partial small subunit ribosomal RNA". It matches the Rfam family "Eukaryotic small subunit ribosomal RNA", at positions 1676 to 1785 of the family's 1831-position model. The record is from RNAcentral.